Molecule: ribosomal RNA, 336 nt
Filed under: Centetipsylla madagascariensis
Lineage: Eukaryota; Metazoa; Arthropoda; Insecta; Siphonaptera; Pulicidae
Description: partial 12S ribosomal RNA
Source: RNAcentral
AUGCUUAAGUAUUAAUAGAUAAAGACUUGAAAUUUAAAGAAUUUGGCGGUAUUUUAAUCUUUUUAGAGGAACCUGUUCUGUAAUCGAUAAUCCACGUUAAAUUUUACUAAAUUUUAAUAUUUGUAUAUCGUUGUCAAAAGAAUAUUUUUAUAAAAUAUAAAUUUUCAAUAAUUUAAAUUAAAAUAUAUGUCAAAUCAAGAUGCAGUUUAUAAUUUAGAAGAAAUGGGUUACAAUAAAAAUAUUUAAAUGAAUUUAAGUUUGAAAAAGUUUAAUGAAGGUGGAUUUAAAAGUAAAUUAAUUUUAAUAAAGUUAAUUGAUUAUAGCUCUAAAAUAUGU